GUGCUCACUUUGGCAAUAUAUACUAAAAUUGGAACGAUACAGAGAAGAUUAGCAUGGCCUCUGAGCAAGGAUGACAUGCAAAUUCAUAAAGUACUUCAUAUAAAA
Molecule: small nuclear RNA, 105 nt
Filed under: Saimiri boliviensis boliviensis (Bolivian squirrel monkey)
Lineage: Eukaryota; Metazoa; Chordata; Mammalia; Primates; Cebidae
Source: RNAcentral